GACGAACGCUGGCGGCGUGCCUAAUACAUGCAAGUAGAACGCACAGUUUAUACUGUAGCUUGCUACAACAUAGACUGUGAGUUGCGAACGGGUGAGUAACGCGUAGGUAACCUGCCUGGUAGCGGGGGAUAACUAUUGGAAACGAUAGCUAAUACCGCAUAAUAUUAAUUAUUGCAUGAUAAUUAAUUGAACAGUGCAAUUGCACCACUACCAGCUGGACCUGCGUUGUAUUAGCUAGUAGGUGAGGUAACGGCUCACCUAGGCGACGAUACAUAGCCGACCUGGGAGGGUGAUCGGCCACACUGGGACUGAGACACGGCCCAGACUCCUACGGGAAGCAGCAGUAGGGAAUCUUCGGCAAUGGACGAAAGUCUGACCGAACAACGCCGCGUGGGUGAAGAAGGUUUUCGGAUCGUAAAGCUCUGUUGUAAGAGAAGAACGGGUGGGAAGGUGGAAAGUUCACACUGUGACGGUAUCUUACCAGAAAGGGACGGCUAACUACGUG
Molecule: ribosomal RNA, 505 nt
Filed under: uncultured bacterium
Lineage: Bacteria
Description: partial 16S ribosomal RNA
Rfam family: Bacterial small subunit ribosomal RNA
Source: RNAcentral